UCGGGAAUUUUGGGCAAUGGGCGAAAGCCUGACACAGCAACGCCGCGUGAAGGAUGAAGUCCCUCGGGAUGUAAACUUCGUAAGAAUAGGAAGAAUAAAUGACGGUACUAUUUGUAAGGUCCGGCUAACUACGUGCCAGCAGCCGCGGUAAUACAGAGGGUGCAAGCGUUAAUCGGACUUACUGGGCGUAAAGGGUGCGUAGGCGGAAGGAUAAGUUAGUUGUGAAAGGCCUGGGCUUAACCUAGGAACUGCAAUUAAGACUGUCCAUCUAGAGUUGAGUAGAGGGGAGCGGAAUUUCCGGUGUAGCGGUGAAAUGCGUAGAUAUCGGAAGGAACAUCAGUUGCGAAGGCGGCUCUCUGGACUCAAACUGACGCUGAGGCACGAAAGCGUGGGUAGCGAACAGGAUUAGAUACCCAUGUAGUCCCUGAGCGGGCUGGCAAGGCGCAU
Molecule: ribosomal RNA, 447 nt
Filed under: uncultured bacterium
Lineage: Bacteria
Description: bacterial SSU rRNA
Rfam family: Bacterial small subunit ribosomal RNA
Source: RNAcentral